This 8188-nucleotide long non-coding RNA is filed under the name Brassica napus (rape). Its description in RNAcentral is "long non-coding RNA (BNAP_LNC002975)". Lineage: Eukaryota; Viridiplantae; Streptophyta; Magnoliopsida; Brassicales; Brassicaceae. The record is from RNAcentral.
AGGCUGUGCUCCACGGGUGCUGCCCAUAGUAGGGACCCUGAUCACGUGAAUCGAUGAAAAACUGUGGCCUGUCAUUCAAGUCGAAGUUUACUUCCUUCCCUGAUUGCUGAGAAACUGAAGGUGACGCGCUUUGCUGCCCAUUGUGACUUAAAAACAAUCUUGUUUCCAUCUUCAACUCAGAAGGUGGAGGAAUGUCAUCCUCUUCGUUUGUACAAUUCAAAUCCAGGUUGAACCUGCUUGAUCCUCGGAAAUUAGCUUCAUGUGAGGACUCUCCACCCCUAGAGUUUGAUGAGGAGAAAGGAAACUGUUUCCAGGGAGUCUGAUCUUCAACUUGAUCAUCUCCUACAUCCGCUACAUUCAGAUCGACACAUAUCACCUGCUUUUCUCUUGAAUCCCCGCUAGGAACUUUGUGAGGUGAUUCCGAGUGAGAUACACUACAAGCAGCCAAACCUUUCGCACUAAGAGAUCUUUCCAAUUGCAACGGUGCUGCUGCAGGCAUACCAGAAUAUGAAACAGACAUAAUGUCAUCGGUCUCAUCAGGACAAAUAUCUUCAUUGAGGUCAAAGCCACAUGGGCUUUUCUCUCUCCCUACCUCGGAUUUAGCAGGUUCUGCCAGGUGCUUCUCUUUAACAUCAUCAGCGUUCACCAUCCCAUUCUCACGUUUAUUAUUCUUCUCUUCCAGGUGAUCUCCAACAUGUGGUUCCUCAAGGGAAAGACUUUCACCCACUGAUAAUCUUUUAGAUGGAGAACCUGUGUGUAGAUCACCACUGUGGGAGUGUUGCGAAUCAGACUGCCCGCUUUCAUCAGAUAGUUCUUCUGAAGAACUGUGAGAAGCUUCCCCAGAGUCUACGUCUCUUGCCACUUCCUGUGCGACUUUGGUAGCGAUCUCCAAGGCAUCCAAGAUACCAAGGUCAAUAUCAGCCGUUGUUUUGUCGAUUGCUCCAAGGCGCUGGGAUAUGGUCAUUGAUCUAGAAGACCUGCGUUUUUUUCUUCGUUUCACUCUCUUCUCUGUGUCUAAAUGUCCCUUACCUUCUCUUUUGUCUUCACUCUCAACUUUAUCAUUUCUACCAUGACCACCUGAUAAUCUAGACGAACUGUCAGAAUCCUGAUUGUCCGUCACCUGAGCCAAUGAAGGCACAUUUUCCCUAUUAUGGGCAAUACUAACAUCGUGCGACGCGCAUACGGUCUCAGACGCAUUCCUGAUGACCUCAUUUGAAUCAAGACUACUCUGCAAAAUACUAUUUUUCUCCAACUCCAUGCUGACAAUAACAGAAUCAGAAGACACAGCUACAGAACUAGAUGACACUGCUCCAGCUCCACCAAUCUUUUCAAGAAAAUUUCCAGGGCUUCCUAGCUGCUUUUCCUUAGAUAUCUCAGCACUAACCGGAGCAAUUGAUGGACCUUCGACACUAUCGCGUUCUGAAUUAAGAAUGCUAAUAGAGCUUGCAACUUGUGCCUGCCACCAACAAUAUAAGCUUGCUUGUAUAAGCAAAAAGAUCAUAUUUUGUUUCAAUAUAUUUUCUCAGUAAAUUGGACCUUACCUUGGCACUGAGAUUAGAAAGAAAAGCUGUACACUCGUCUGGCUGCAUCACUGGUUGUGCGUCUUCUGUCUCUUGUUUAUUUGAAGUAGCUGCCUUUCCAGACUCUGAUUCAAUGCUUAUUUUGUUUGGUACAGUUGCACUAUUAUCUUCUUUACUCAUCUGCGGCGGCUUACCCAAAGAGACUUCUUCUACACACGCUCCUCCACGGGUAGGAUCUCCAGAAGUCUGCAAUAACACAAAGCAAUAAAGUUGACUGUCAAGUUAUCAUCUUUGGUAAAAUCUGAUUCCUUCCUAGGAUUCUGAGAAAGCUGGUUAUAGGGAAAGGGAGAAGAUUAUUACUUGGACAUAAGCAUCGCAGUUGUGAGGAUUGGCGGAGAGCUCCGAACCUAGGAAUGGGGCAGCCUCGGAAUCAUCCGCAGAGGGUGGGGCAGGAUCUUCCAUCUUCUGAUCGAUGCUCGUGAGUAGCUCAGUGUCAUCCAUCGUCUCAAUUUUCUCCGUCGUCGAGACUAUAUAACCACCAAUUCAAUUUGUGAUUUUGAAAUUAGAAUCUAUGCAAACGCACUCACACAAUUGGUCAAUUCCUUUGAAUUAUAAACCGGUAAGGAUUUUGAUAAGCUUGAAGUAAGCUCAUCGGGGGGGGGGAGGGAGAAUUGACGAAGAGCAGGGUAGAAGGAAGAAGAAGAAAUGAGAAUUUAGGGAUUUUGAUAUUUGAUUUGUUGAUUUUUUCCAUAAAGUUUGCGUGAUUACAUACAUAUAAAGUAUAAACCAAAAGAAGAUAAUAACUAACAGCCCAAUGGACAAUAAACCGAGGCCCAAAUGGUUCUUAUCAGAUUUCACGGUUAUCCUUAACCUCACAUUGAUUGUAAAAUAAUUUUGGGGCCCGGUUGAUGUUCGGGUAAAUUGAGGCUUUGUGGUUGUGUAAAGUCCUGGAAGCCGAAAAAUUGCCAAUAAUUUUUUUUUAGACUUUAGAAAUAUGUAAAGCUUUAAAAGCCACUUUUAAACAAAAAAAAAACUGGUUUUUAGUUCUUUAUUUUCAACAGCCACUUUUUAAUGCUUUUAAACCAUUUCUUUUUAUUAUUUUUUUCUAAAAAAACGUGAACGCUUAAGGUUUUAGGAUUUGCUCAAUGCCAAAAUUAUUUCGCUUAGAUGAUACUAAUUUUCCUCAUCCAUCUGAUGGUAAGUAUUAUUUAGGUGAUUCAGAAUACGCAUUGCACCGUAGAUAUCUUUGUCUUUAUAGAGGAAAUACAUCUCUUAUAUACUAAAGCACAAGUCACAUGUGGAAUAUAUUUUAUUAAAAAAAUCUAUCUAAAACAAAUUCUCAUCCCUAAUUUCCAGCAACUCUAUCCUAUUUUUUCUCAGAAUCCACGUUCAAAAUCACCAUGAUUUCAAACGGUUUUCUUCUCCUAUAUACUUUUUGAUCUUUUAGUUCACUCUCUGUUUUAUAUUUUCUAUCUUCUCCAUUAUCAAAUCCCCAUGCUUAUCAAGGACAAACGUUAGUAUCUGAGUUUCCAAUUCUUUUAUCUAAAAUUGAAUAUUUACAGGUAUGUUUUUUGGCUUAUCUUUACGUAAUUACUAUCUUUUGCAUUAGUUUUAGUAUUUCAAAAGGAACAUACAGACCUGUAACCCACAUUCUAAUAGUACGUUUAAUAUCUUUAAGUUUUACAUCUAUUUUAGUCAAGGUCAGAGUUCAUCUCAUGUUGAAAUAUAUUCAUGGUCAAUUUUACAUUGCCAUAUCAAGAGUCGAAAGUAUAGAGAUCUUAAUUGUUAGUGAGGAGGGGGGGAGGGGGAAGGAUACAAAAACAACUAAUGUUUCUAGAUAUUUUUCAUCACAUUAGAGAAUCUUGAAUCAUCUUUAGGUGAAAAUAGAAUAAUAAGUGUAGCCACCACAAAAAAAACAAUGAUAGAGAUCUUCAGAGCUUGGAAGAUGAUGAAUCCCAUAGAAAGGUGAUGAAUAUUUUCUAGAGUAAAUGCAACUUCUUUGUUUGAACGCAGCCAUCUCUUAUCAUGUUUAUCGAAUAUUUGACUAGAUUAUUAAUUUUUAGUGAAAGAUAUAUUAAAAUUUCAUGAUCAAGUAAUUUAAUAGACAGGGAAAUUGAUCCGUGCAUGGCACGGGAGAACACUAGUAUCAUCUAAAUCAGUUCUAAAAUCAACAAGAAGAAAGAAACUACAGAGAAAUUUUUAAUCGUCACCAUUCAUGACUUCGUUCAGUGAUAGAAAGAACUUUUGGAGUAUAGAAAAAAAUGAUGUAUUGUCAAAGACGAAGCAAGGUAUAACAUAUGCAAAAAAUUGUGGUGGCAACCAUGGUUCUCCAUAAUUUUAUUUGUAAAUCAAAUCUUGUGGAUCCUAAUUUUCAGUCAAAAGAAAAUGAAAAUGAACAAAUGACAAAUGAGGAAAAAACUUCCAGAUACGAUUGAACAAGAUCUCAGUUCAAAACAAUACAUGGAAGGUGUUCGAGAUGAACACUGCAAACAACAUUAGCAACCGUUAAAUCUUAUUUUUUAUAUUUAAUAAAAUGUAAUCUUAUUUAAAUAAUAAAAAUAAUAUUUUUUGUUAGAAUAAAUAAUAAAAUAUAUUUAUUGCUAAUUUUUUACUGAUAAAUAAAAAGUAGAUAGAAAAAAAUAAGUUAUAGAUUUUGGAAAUGAAUGUGAAAUAUAUACUUAUAACAGUCGCAGCUUCUAAAGUUUUUGAUGUCAAUCAAGCUUUUAAACUUUUCAAAAUAACAGUCACAACGUUUAAAGCUAAAUUCUCUACAGUCAUAUUUUUAAAACCAAAUCAUAAAGCGAAAGUGUUUACCAAUCCGACCCUUGGUCUUGAAUAGUUUAGUGUAGACGAAUUUUGGAACUCAAACCCACUCGCGAUUCACAUCUAUCGACCUCGUUUACAUUUCCAAAUUAGUACUCCUAUAUUACACUCAAUUAAACACUCAACCCAAUUCUCUAUCUCCUACUAAGUUUAAUGGUAAAUGCAACUCUUGUUAAUUGUGAAAAAAAACUCUGGUUAAUUAUUUGAAAUAAGUUAGUGAAAAAUAAGAAUUUCUCUAAAAUCAACUCUCAGUUAGGCACCAUUUAUUUUUCUAUUAAACUAUAAAUACUAUAGUAUAUCACCAAAUAUCUUAUUAUGUUUUAUAUAUUUCUAAAAGCCAUAUAAAUUUAUAUAAACUGAAUAUUUUGUGAGAAUGUAAGUUUUGAAUUUCUUAGGGAGAAUAUAAGUCUUUUUUAACAACUGCGAAAACAACCGUUAAUUUAAUAUUUUUUGUAUGCAUUAUACACUAAUGCCUGAUAAAUGUAUGAUGUUAUAGAUAGUUUUUGUAAAAAAAUAGACAACGACUCAAAGACCAAAUGUGUGUUAUUUUCAGUUAGAUACAUAAAAUGAAAAUAGAACAAGAAUCAAGUGAGACCAUAACUUGAAAUUGGAUUCAAGAUGACUUACAGCCAUGGAUGGUCUUGAGCAUAGUGAAGUGAAAUAUUGGAAUAGGGUCUCCAAUUUUUUUUUUGAAAAUUUUACUUUGAAAAAGGUCUCCAAAUUUGUAAAAAAUAAUUUUAUGUUAAAACUUUAAUAAAAUGUUUAUGGCCCCCAACAUUUUAGGGACGCCGUGCUUACACUUAGUGGGAGUUAUUGGUUGGUGUAUUUUGAUGGAUUUAAAAAUUCAAACUAAAUCUAGUGUUAUUGGUUCUACGAUUUUAAAAUAUGUAUUGAAAUUAUGUGUUAUUCGUUUAAUGAUUCAUAAAUUCUAAUUCAAAUCAAGUGUUAUUCGUUUAAUGAUUCAUAAAUUCUAAUUCAAAUCAAGUGUUAUUCAAUCGUACGGAUUUACUAAUAAAUUUGAUUUCAUAAUGUAUUUGAAUGGAUUUGCAUGAAUUUCUUUGUGAAAAAUACAAAGGCCCAAAUCCGAAAGAAAACCUCCGGAUUUGUAAAUACUAAUCCGAGAAAAUUUGAAAAUUUGUAUAUUUUACUUGGAUUUAUAAAUACUAUAUGGAUUUCUAAAUCAAUAAAAAUAUAUAAACCAAUAACACCUCCUUACAGUAUAUAUACUAUAUACUCGCGAGUUAAGAACUUCCAAAAUCUCAAGAACUACCAAAAGGUGUUUACAUGUAUACAAUGGAAACUCACUCAGCCCCCUUGAACGGGUUUGUCUCUGCUUUUUUGAGUCUCAGAUGCGAUAUUGUCAGUCUACAAUAUAAGAUUUUCUUCAGAGUGCGUUAAUAAAGUAGAACAAGAAAAGCUAUAUCCAAGGGAAUGAGAAGAGAAGGGACCAAGGUGCUUUCGCCUAUUCAGAACUUCGAGAUGUGUCCUUUGAAUUCCUCGAACCUUCUAUGAAAGCAAUCAUACCAGGCUAGAAUUCUUUGGACCAGAUAAAGUAUGAACUCAAGACUUGAGGAAAACCAGGAAGAGAGACAGAUUCCUCCCAAUUUCCACGCCGACUGAAAUCCUCUUUUUACCCUUCUUUGGAUUUGACCGUUCUAUACUGAUCUUCUUACCAAGAAACAUCUUUUUGUUCUUUGCUAUAGCUGCUGCAAAGUCCUCAUCAUCCACAAAGUCAACAUAUGCCAGUCCCUGCGAGACACAAGAGCAUCAAGAAUAUUAAUCCACCAUACUGGCAUGCUUCACUAAGACAUAAAAUAGCAGCAGAUAGUCAUCGGCAGUAUGCAUAAUUGAUAUCUAUGAUGAACAGAUUUACCAAUCAAUGCACCUGGAAAAAUAUACUCAAGUUCCAACAGGAUUUCAUCUAAGCAUGAUCAUACGGAAACUAGGAAAUUUCCAGAUUCAUUUACAGUAACAGUAAAGACUAAGAAGAGCAAAUACUAAUUCAAAGUCGAAAGUACGAGCAUUAGACCAAAGAAGAGCAAAUACUAAUUCAUCUAGAGGCUAGAGAUGCUUCAUUCCUUGCUCAUUCAAGCCACAGAGAAGGACUUAAUGGAAACACGGCACUCAUAGCUUCCCUUGCUUGUCUUAGCUUUUCAAGGUUUGCAUAAUUCCUGAGAAGCUUUAUAUACUGCAAUAACGUUGAUUGUCAAGCAUGAAAGUUAUCAUUUUUUUAAAUGAAAAUUUGGUAAAAGAAAAUCUGUUUUCCUGCCAGAUUCUGAGUGGGAGAAGAUUUCAAGCAAAUGGAAGGUAGAGAAGAUGUUAUUAUUGGAUGAUACCUUCUUUAUUGCGUCUGACUUCCAAGGCUAAAAAUGAGUUUCUGGGUGCUUCUUCUACUUCCCCAACUGUUACGUUUAGCUGCUUUGAUAUUGGUCUGAUUAUGCAUAUAAUUUGAACCGCUAGAUAUUCUCCAAGUAUUGUUCUUUACGACAGCUCAAACUCUGUUUCUAGGAACCACACAAACAACAGCUCAAACUCUGUUUCUAGGAACCACCAUUGUUUGGUUGGUUUAAGAGUUGUAUGAAACAGUUCAGAACUGCUACAGUAACAUAAAGCAACACUUGAAACGCAAAACUAUAGUUUUAUUUUAUGGAGAAAAUACAAAACAAGGUUAAGAAGAAGCUUGACAUAUACCAAUGUUUGAAUUAAUCCUCCUAUAUAUGUUACGAAAUAAAAACCUGAAAAAGGGGGAAAACUGAUGGGAAAAAAGAAGAAGAAAGUUCAUCAAGACAUUAUAAGUUACCUCCCAACACUUCUGUUAUUCUCUAACCAAUCAACCAAUCCAUCCACCUAUUAAGAACCCAAUCUCCACUUUCUGCGAAUCACUCAUCUCCAUGGAGGAGGGAACUCCCAACGUGUCUCCGGCUCUUUCCGCUUUCCACCAAUGCUAAUAGAUAAGCUCGAUGAAGGCUCUACAUUUGCUCCUGAAUGCUCUCCCAUAGCUUCGCCUUGUCCAGGUGAUAGAAACUGCCUCAAACUUAGCGACUCUCGGUUUCCCAUCUCACCCCCAAACCCAUAACUUUGAUCAAAGCGUGGCUGCACAGAUCCAUUCAGACUAUGCGAUCCACCCGCCAAGCUCAUGAACAUGUGCUGUUGAGGAAAUGGUGGCUGUGCAUAUGGAGUCGAUCCCAUCAUUUGAGGCAUCAUCACUGGCGUACCCCUUGCGUCCACCAUGUAUGGAAUAGCUGUUCCAGGAACAUACAUGGCCGAUGAUGACAUUGACAUCCCAGGAGGACCAGUAAAUCCGUUGUACCCAUAUACAGGAGCUGGAGAAAAGGACACUCCAGGUGCUAAACCCAAAGAGUUUCCUGUUUUUCCCAUGUAUAAUCCUGUUGCUGUCUCGAGGGACUUACCAUUGGACAGGAACGAAGCCAUCUGGGAAACAGUCUCUUUUCUGUCAACGUCCACUUUUGUACCCAAUAGAGAGAUAACCGGUUCAUCCACUUUGUGCCCUCCAUAGGAGGCUGUGCUCCACGGGUGCUGCCCAUAGUAGGGACCCUGAUCACGUGAAUCGAUGAAAAACUGUGGCCUGUCAUUCAAGUCGAAGUUUACUUCCUUCCCUGAUUGCUGAGAAACUGAAGGUGACGCGCUUUGCUGCCCAUUGUGACUUAAAAACAAUCUUGUUUCCAUCUUCAACUCAGAAGGUGGAGGAAUGUCAUCGUCCUCGUUUGUACAAUUCAAAUCCAGGUUGAACCUGCUUGAUCCCCGGAAAUUAGCUUCACGUGAGUACUCUCCACCCCUAGAGCUUGAUGAGGAGAAAGGAAACUGUUUCCAGGGAGUUUGAUCUU